Molecule: ribosomal RNA, 696 nt
Filed under: Splanchnonema platani
Lineage: Eukaryota; Fungi; Ascomycota; Dothideomycetes; Pleosporales
Description: SSU rRNA
Rfam family: Eukaryotic small subunit ribosomal RNA
Source: RNAcentral
AGGGGUGUAUUUAUUAGAUAAAAAACCAAUGCCCUCCGGGGCUGCUUGGUGAUUCAUAAUAACUUCUCAGAUCGCAUGGCCUUGCGCCGGCGACGGUUCAUUCAAAUUUCUGCCCUAUCAACUUUCGAUGGUACGGUAGUGGCCUACCAUGGUUUCAACGGGUAACGGGGAAUUAGGGUUUGAUUCCGGAGAGGGAGCCUGAGAAACGGCUACCACAUCCAAGGAAGGCAGCAGGCGCGCAAAUUACCCAAUACCGAUACGGUGAGGUAGUGACAAUAAAUACUGAUACAGGGCUCUUUAGGGUCUUGUAAUUGGAAUGAGUACAAUUUAAACCUCUUAACGAGGAACAAUUGGAGGGCAAGUCUGGUGCCAGCAGCCGCGGUAAUUCCAGCUCCAAUAGCGUAUAUUAAAGUUGUUGCAGUUAAAAAGCUCGUAGUUGAACCUUUGGCCUGGCUGGCUGGUCCGCCUCACCGCGUGCACUGGUCCGGCCGGGCCUUCUCUCCUGGGGGAACCGCAUGCCCUUCGCUGGGUGUGUUGGGGACCAGGACUUUUACUUUGAAAAAAUUAGAGUGCUCAAAGCANGCCUUUGCUCGAAUACGUUAGCAUGGAAUAAUAGAAUAGGACCGCGGUCCUAUUUUGUUGGGUUCUAAGACCGCCGUAAUGAUUAUAAGGGACAGUCCGGGGCNUCNAUAUUCA